GUACUCGCUUCGGCGGUACAUAUACUAAAAUUGGAACGAUACAGAGAAGAGUAGCAUGGCCCCUGCGCAAGGAUGACACGCAAAAUCGUGAAGCGUUCCACAUUUUU
Molecule: small nuclear RNA, 107 nt
Filed under: Bemisia tabaci
Lineage: Eukaryota; Metazoa; Arthropoda; Insecta; Hemiptera; Aleyrodidae
Source: RNAcentral